RNAcentral lists this ribosomal RNA (468 nucleotides) under uncultured bacterium. RNAcentral describes it as "partial 16S ribosomal RNA". It matches the Rfam family "Bacterial small subunit ribosomal RNA", at positions 28 to 507 of the family's 1533-position model. The record is from RNAcentral.
GACGAACGCUGGCGGCGUGCUUAACACAUGCAAGUCGAACGGAAAGGCCCUGCUUUUGUGGGGUGCUCGAGUGGCGAACGGGUGAGUAACACGUGAGUAACCUGCCCUUGACUCUGGGAUAACUUCAGGAAACUGGGGCUAAUACCGGAUAGGAGCUCCUGCUGCAUGGUGGGGGUUGGAAUGUUUCGGCGGUUGGGGAUGGACUCGCGGCUUAUCAGCUUGUUGGUGGGGUAGUGGCUUACCAAGGCUUUGACGGGUAGCCGGCCUGAGAGGGUGACCGGCCACAUUGGGACUGAGAUACGGCCCAGACUCCUACGGGAGGCAGCAGUGGGGAAUAUUGCACAAUGGGCGGAAGCCUGAUGCAGCAACGCCGCGUGCGGGAUGACGGCCUUCGGGUUGUAAACCGCUUUCGCCUGUGACGAAGCGUGAGUGACGGUAAUGGGUAAAGAAGCACCGGCUAACUACGUG